This 483-nucleotide ribosomal RNA is filed under the name uncultured bacterium. RNAcentral's name for it is "partial 16S ribosomal RNA". It matches the Rfam family "Bacterial small subunit ribosomal RNA", at positions 28 to 507 of the family's 1533-position model. The record is from RNAcentral.
GACGAACGCUGGCGGCGUGCUUAACACAUGCAAGUCGAACGCUGAAGCUCAGCUUUUGUUGGGUGGAUGAGUGGCGAACGGGUGAGUAACACGUGAGUAACCUGCCUCCUUCUUUGGGAUAACGCCCGGAAACGGGUGCUAAUACUGGAUAUUCACUGGUCUUCGCAUGGGGGUUGGUGGAAAGGGUUUUUCUGGUGGGGGAUGGGCUCGCGGCCUAUCAGCUUGUUGGUGGGGUGAUGGCCUACCAAGGCUUUGACGGGUAGCCGGCCUGAGAGGGUGACCGGUAACAUUGGGACUGAGAUACGGCCCAGAAUCCUACGGGAGGCAGCAGUGGGGAAGAUUGCACAAUGGGCGCAAGCCUGAUGCAGCGACGCCGCGUGAGGGAUGGAGGCCGUCGGGUUGUGAACCUCUUUCGCUCAUGGUCAAGCCGCAACAAUGGUUGUGGUGAGGGUAGUGGGUAAAGAAGCGCCGGCUAACUACGUG